RNAcentral lists this long non-coding RNA (336 nucleotides) under Mytilus galloprovincialis (Mediterranean mussel). Lineage: Eukaryota; Metazoa; Mollusca; Bivalvia; Mytilida; Mytilidae. The record is from RNAcentral.
AUACAACAAAAGACCAAUUCAUGGUUGAGAAAAUUUCAGAAAGGCUAGUUUAAAAUUGACUGGAUUUUUACUUAUUUUUAAUUUCCUGUUUGGCCUGGGUGUAUAUAGGUGUCAUAUUCAUCAGUUGUCGUAGGUGUGGUGUAGGUAAUUGUUGUCGAUUUCAGGUGAACAGGACUGUGACAUAGGUUACUAAUUGGAAAAACAUUAUUUCGAAAACUUCUGUGCUAAAAAUUGGAUUGAUUAUCUCUGCCUGCAGGAUUAUCAAUAAGUGUUUAAUACCAACAAAUCUAUAUUGGAAUGAAUUCUUAGGAGAGUUUUAAAUAAUUUGAAAUAAAG